CCGGAGCACCGCGCAAUCUUCUCGCGUGCUUCAAACGGAGUCACAAUCUACCAAACCGUGACCCUAGAUCAAUCAAAUAAUUGUCACUUUUCUGACAGAUUCUGUACCUUUCAAAGAACAACUCAUACCUCACAUUGUACAGAUCCAAAUGCCACGAAAUUUGGUGGAAAUGUGACUCACUAAGUCAUUUAGCAGCUGUA
RNAcentral lists this long non-coding RNA (200 nucleotides) under Sorghum bicolor (sorghum). RNAcentral's name for it is "long non-coding RNA (SBIC_LNC015952)". The record is from RNAcentral. Lineage: Eukaryota; Viridiplantae; Streptophyta; Magnoliopsida; Poales; Poaceae.